RNAcentral lists this ribosomal RNA (274 nucleotides) under uncultured bacterium. RNAcentral describes it as "partial 16S ribosomal RNA". It matches the Rfam family "Bacterial small subunit ribosomal RNA", at positions 523 to 796 of the family's 1533-position model. The record is from RNAcentral.
AUACGUAGGGCGCGAGCGUUGUUCGGAAUUACUGGGCGUAAAGCGCGUGUAGGUGGCCAGGUAAGUCAGGUGUGAAAGCCCUCGGCUCAACCGGGGAAGUGCACCUGAAACUGCCUGGCUAGAGGGCGGCAGAGGGAGGUGGAAUUCCUGGUGUAGAGGUGAAAUUCGUAGAUAUCGGGAGGAAUACCGGUGGCGAAGGCGGCCUCCUGGACCGUUCCUGACACUGAGACGCGAAAGCGUGGGGAGCAAACAGGAUUAGAAACCCUAGUAGUCC